This is a long non-coding RNA of Artibeus jamaicensis (Jamaican fruit-eating bat), 5246 nucleotides long. RefSeq lists it as uncharacterized. The transcript is spliced from 5 exons. NCBI's taxonomy places the organism in Eukaryota, Metazoa, Chordata, Mammalia, Chiroptera, Phyllostomidae. The record is from RefSeq and is a predicted model, not a curated record.
UUGAGACUCAUCAUUCCUUUCUCUUUCAGCUGGAAGGAGGAGGCCUCUUCUCUGCUGUUGGGGUCGGGGGGCGGGUCUUUUGCCGCCCACAGACAGUCUGGAGUACAGGCCUGCCCUUGCUCUUUCUCCUUAUUCUGUUGGGUCACUCUCUGUCCCCGAGGCUGCCCCUGGCCCCCGGUGCGUGUGGCUACCCGCAUGCGUCCCCCAACUGCCACCAGUCUAAGGCUUGUGCUCCCCGAGGGUGGGUGGUGUGGCCGCAACGUCAUCCCACUCAGUGGAAGGCAGGACGGUGGGAGAGUUGUGCAAGGACAUGGGGUUUCCGGCGGGGCCGCUGCUCACCCAGAACUGCGUGGUCCUCCCCCGAGAGGUCCACUCUGCAUUUCCUUCAUUCAGUGAGUGCAAACGUACCGCUCUCACACAGCGGGUGUGCGGAUGGCCGAGACAACCGUGUAGAGAAUGCAAAUCAGGAAAUGUAAGUUUCUCUCCCUUUUCCCUUUCCUCCUUCUCUGUCUCCCUCCCCUUAGGCUGGGACGACGAGGAGGCACAGUGUGACCUGUGGUUGGAGGGUGAAGAUUGAUGUCAGCGUCUGAAUGGAGCAAAUUCUCCUAAUGCUGGAAGGUUGUUGUGAAGAUCAGAGGGGAUGACGCACGGAAAGGGCCCGACGCAGAGACACCUGGUACACGGUCACCUCCUGCACAGAUGAAUGUUGAUAUUUAUGUCAAUUCUGGUAUAUGGAGUUUUGGUGUUUGAUUUGUUAGCCACAUUCUGUAAGUUAAGAGCGAUCAUCCCCAUUUUAUAGCUGGAGAAACUGAGUCUGGAGAGGUUAAGCAACAUGCCCGCAGUCCCUCACUGGGGAUGUGGUAAAGCCCCAGGGGGGACCCUGCAAGCUUUCAGCCCCUUUCAGAGCUCCAGCCGUCCCUGUGGAAGGGCUGAGGGUGACAGUCACCGUCCUGUCCUCUGCAGCUCAUGGCCUCACCCCGCGGGGCUCCAGCUCAUUCCCACUGCCCCCACCGCCCACCUGCCUGCCUGCUUUUCAGCCCUGAUGACUGCGUCAUCACUAUGACAGCCUUUUCUGAGUGACACUCAUGUCCCAGCCUGAGCUGGGAGCAAACGCUCCUAACGGCCUCCCAGGACUAGGCUUGGGCCGGCCUUCAGGGUCAGCACCUAGUCUGUUAGUCCUUGGGGCCUAGGGCUCACUGGCUAUCCCUCCUCUCCGCCUCUCUCCCUGCACCUCCUUCCUUGGUUUCCACCCCCUCCUCCCCAGGGCCCUGUGCAGGUAAGUGCCUGUCGCGUAGAGAUAUCCGGUACAUGGUAGAUUCCCCCACCCCCUUUCCCCCAGGGCCCUUUCUCCCUUCUAAGAGCCUCUGAGUGGGCCACAGGGAUCCUGGGAAGCCAAAGGACUCAGUCUAGCAGACGCUGUCCUUGCCCCACUCCUGCCACCAAAGUGCCCCCUGGGGCCACCCGCCAUUGACUGCCUGUGGCUGCCUUGCACAGCACCUGCGUCUCUCUACAGGGGCUUUCUCAGGCUUCAGGGGUGUGCUCAGCUCUCAGGGGGUCAGGCCAUGAGGACGCUGUUCCAGCUCCGUCGCCUCCUGGCGGGGCCAGUCGGAGGUCCGAUGCCUGAUCUCCAGGGUGCCCCUUGGAAUAAGGGUCCCCUUGCCCAGGCUGCUAACUGGCCCAAGGCCCAUCCUGGAUGGACGUUCCUCCCUCCCUUUUCUGGCUGCCUUCUUCUUACUCUGCUUCCUGGGUCCCCUCCCAAAUCAACUACUUGCACCCAAUCCUUGAGAUUUGGAACCCAAAUUAAGAGCCUUGGCCACUUCAAGCAUCAGAUCAUUUGUGGCUUGGUUCAAUGGAAAGAGUGUGGGCUCUUUAUCCAGGCAGGGGUAGGGUCAGAUCCCAGAGCUGUGGCCGUAAGCUGUGUGACUGACCAAAUACCUUACCUCUCUGAGCCUCUACUUCAACAUCUAUAACACAAGGAACACCUGUUCUUAGGGCCAGUGAGACGGGUGGAGUGCCUGGCAAAUGGUCGGCGCUUAACCAAUGCGGGUGGUUCCCAAGGCAGAUGGUCUCAAAUCAGCAUCUCCCUUGAGCCCCAGACCUGCUGGGUGCCACAUUGGCAUGUUGCCCCUUCUCCAAGGUCAGCUCGUCCAGCGUCAAACUUACCCGUUCUCUGCAUUCUCAUUCCCGAGUCUCCAGCUGCAGGCCAAGGUCCUCUGGCUUGUUGUCAGGUUCUCCUGCCCUCAUGCGCACAGCCACCAUUUCCGGAGGGCUGGGGGCCUCCUCUGGGUUCGCGCUACCACAGCCCCGCAGCUGGCCCUGCUCCCUGUGGCCGGACCCGAUUCCUGGCCUGGCACUGCCUCUCACUGAGGGUUUGUCCCUGGGCAAGUCACCUCCCUGCUCUGAGCUUUAUCUCCUUCUUUGGAAAGCAGGUGCAUGGUUGUUUUAAGGGCUAAAGUACCCAGCACAAUGCGUGGUAAAUAAUCAAGGCUUGGCCCACUUAGGGCCUUCCUCUCCAGCCAGUGCCAUUGACCUUCACAGAAACUCACAUGAGAACUAUUUAAAUGAGCAACAACUGCCCAUUUAUGCCAAAAGCAGGCUCCUCCAAUUUGACCAAGCACACAGAUGACCUGGGAUCUUGUUCAAAUGCAGAUUCUGACCCAGUAGGUCUGGCGUGGGGCCUGAGGUUCUGCCUUCCUGUUAAGUUCUCGGGGGAUGCUUGUUCCCACCUGCAAAGUGAGGCUCUAGAGCUCCCCACUCUGCCUCCAAGAUGCUCUCGCCCAGAGCUCUUGCUGGCUCCCUAUUGCCUGGUGAGGACAACAACAGCCAACACUUACUGAAUCCGCACAGCAUUCCAGGCACUGUUCUCCAAGCUUUCUGUAUACUUAUCCACUUAAUUCUCUGAGAUGAGCACCACAAACAGCCGUGUACCCAUUUCACAGGAGGGAAAAUAGAGGCACAGAAAGGUUAAGUAAAGCACCCGAGUCACAAAGACAGUGAGUGGUAGAGCUGGACUUCUGACCCUAACAGGCUCUAUGUGCUUGACCUUGGCGGCUCUGCUGGCUCCUCUUGCAGGAGAAGUCUCAACCCCUCGGCCUGCGAUCUAAGGGACUUGAGGAAGGACUGUCCCUGUGGUCAGAGAAGAACAGUUCCAGGGGCAGGUCAAGUUUGAGAAUGUCGGGUGGAGCACCAGUUAAGAAAGGACUCCUCCAAAACCCUUUUUGUCUAUGUCCCUGGGAACUGCAAGUUCAAGGAAUUAGACGCCAGAAGGAAUGGCAGCCUAGGGUUGGGAGGGCAGCUAGCUGCCUGGGGCAGGGGGUCGGGGUGAGCGGCAAGGUGGGAAGAGCAGAGGGGAGGCGUGGGGCAGCUGCCCAGGAAGCUCUGUCACCAGGGCCGAGGCGGCUGGCAGCCCGGGGCUCUGCUGUGUGAGCUGACAUUUAGGCCUGCCACCGAUGAUUGGGCCCGUUUUGGAAAAAUGCAUGUACUUUGCACAUCUAUUUCUUUCCACCCAUCACUCAGGGCUGUCGUUCCCCGAGGAGGGCAAGGGCGUAAUCACCGACAGAACAGCUUAAGUGCCUUUUGGAAGCUCUCCCUUCUGCUCUGCUUUGAGACUCUGCCUCCCCCGUGGGCGGCAAGGCCAGUCUCUCCAGCUGCAUGUGGGUCUCUGUCCUUCUCUUUGUCCUCUCUGUGUCGCGCCCUCUUUGUCUCUGCGUCUACGCUGGCUUCUCUCUUUCUCUAUCUGUCUGGACUGGAAAGUUCUCUUCUAGAGUCCCUCUCCCCAGCCUCCCUCUCUGCCCCCUCCAUCCUUUAUCUUCAAAUCCCUCAUAGGAGCCUUCUGUCUCCCAGGGUGUCAGAUCCCAGGGCGAGCCUGACCCUUAGUGCCCCUUCCCCUCCCUCCUUCCUCUCUCCGCUCCAGGCCAGGUCCUCCUCCAUCCUCCACCCCCUGCUCUUUUUCAGGCUCCUCUCCCUCCUCUCAUCUUCUCUGCGCUCAGGACCACCACCCCAAUCUCCCUUUCAUUCCUCUCCCCUGAAAUGGACAGGUGCGCAUCCACAUUUGGGGCCCACCUGGGGUUGUCAGCUCCCCAGCUGGGGCAGAGCCCAGGGGCCUUGUUUUGGGUUUUGUUUUCUCAGCUCUGGGCGCACUCGUGCAUUUCACAAAAGCUGCAGUCAUUCUGGGUCAGGAGGGCUGGUCCUUGACUCCACAGGUGCCGGAGCCUCGUGGAGGAGCCACGAUCCACUGUCCACCUCUCCCCACAGAUGAGGUGCACAGGCCAAGGGACCCCCGGCAGAGCUGCCUCCAACCCUCCAACCCAGAAGGGGCAGCCCUGGGAUAAAUGUCACGUGCCCCCCCACUCCUGUGACUCGACUGAUGGGGGGCCUCCAGCUGUUCAGAGCUCAAAAGCCCAGGCCAGAGAAGGGUGGCCCAUUCCAAGCUGCCACACACGAGGCUGCUAAGAGCUCUAGUUGAAUAAACCAUGCUUUGCAGCCUGCCCAGCACACAGAAUCCUCAAAUUCGGCAUCAAAGCAGUCGCCCUAUGCCCUGUGGCAUCCAGCUGGCUUUCUCCGGUGUGUCCCCAGCCACUGUCUGUGGUUCAUCCACUUGCUGCUGAGAUAUUAAUGCACCUCAGGGGUCAGUGGAGCCCAGUGACUGCUGUUAAUAGGGCAAAGCAAUUUCAAUUUCAUGCCUACGUGGGCUUCCGUCUAUUAAGGCAAAGAAGGGGAACAAAUCUCCCUUUAUUCCUUUCAGAAAACACAGUCACAGUGCGGCAGAGGCUUAUGUAGGGUUGCUGGCAGGCGGCAGGGGGGCAGGAGGCUCGCGUGAGACCGAGCAGGGCUCCGGGGAAGCAGGAAGUGGGUCGAGGAGGCAGCCGGUACUAUGUGGUUGUUGCCUGCCGAUCUGGCCUGGAUGUUCCUAUGGCUAUUCUCAUAAAAAACGGCAAUCUAUUUCUUCACCUCUUGAAUCUGGGCUGAACUUACGACUUAUCCUGUCCAAAAGAAAAGAAAAAGUAGCAGAAGUGACAGAUUGCAGGUUCCCUGAGGCCAUUUGAGGCUUUGUGUGUCCCAGCUCUCCCUUGCGCCUCUGUCUUCACCACGCCCGUGUGCUGGACGAUGAGAGGCCAGAAGGGACAGAAGCCCCGAUGGACCAACCCGCCCCCGCCUGACUCAGCAGCUGACUCAGGUGCAACAGGGAGCCCAGCCGACCUCCCAGAUCAGCCGCUGGCUGUAGCCUAACCAAAAACAAUAAACAG